This 539-nucleotide ribosomal RNA is filed under the name Diaporthe eres. RNAcentral describes it as "eukaryotic LSU rRNA". The stretch from base 193 to 346 matches the Rfam family "5.8S ribosomal RNA". The record is from RNAcentral. Lineage: Eukaryota; Fungi; Ascomycota; Sordariomycetes; Diaporthales; Diaporthaceae.
GCGGAGGGAUCAUUGCUGGAACGCGCCCCAGGCGCACCCAGAAACCCUUUGUGAACUUAUACCUUACUGUUGCCUCGGCGCUAGCUGGUCCUUCGGGGCCCCUCACCCCCGGGUGUUGAGACAGCCCGCCGGCGGCCAACCCAACUCUUGUUUUUACACUGAAACUCUGAGAAUAAAACAUAAAUGAAUCAAAACUUUCAACAACGGAUCUCUUGGUUCUGGCAUCGAUGAAGAACGCAGCGAAAUGCGAUAAGUAAUGUGAAUUGCAGAAUUCAGUGAAUCAUCGAAUCUUUGAACGCACAUUGCGCCCUCUGGUAUUCCGGAGGGCAUGCCUGUUCGAGCGUCAUUUCAACCCUCAAGCCUGGCUUGGUGAUGGGGCACUGCUUCUUACCCAAGGAGCAGGCCCUGAAAUUCAGUGGCGAGCUCGCCAGGACCCCGAGCGCAGUAGUUAAACCCUCGCUCUGGAAGGCCCUGGCGGUGCCCUGCCGUUAAACCCCCAACUUCUGAAAAUUUGACCUCGGAUCAGGUAGGAAUACCCG